RNAcentral lists this ribosomal RNA (253 nucleotides) under uncultured bacterium. Its description in RNAcentral is "partial 16S ribosomal RNA". It matches the Rfam family "Bacterial small subunit ribosomal RNA", at positions 524 to 776 of the family's 1533-position model. The record is from RNAcentral.
UACGUAGGGUGCAAGCGUUAAUCGGAAUUACUGGGCGUAAAGCGUGCGCAGGCGGUUUUGUAAGUCAGAUGUGAAAUCCCCGGGCUUAACCUGGGAACUGCGUUUGAAACUACAAGGCUAGAGUGUGACAGAGGGGGGUGGAAUUCCACGUGUAGCAGUGAAAUGCGUAGAGAUGUGGAGGAACACCGAUGGCGAAGGCAGCCCCCUGGGAUAACACUGACGCUCAUGCACGAAAGCGUGGGGAGCAAACAGG